AAAUGAAAACACGAAGAGAGGCCGGGCAUUUAGCAGUGACAAUCUCCGCGAUUUGGCUUGGAUUUCCGAGAUGUGCUGUCAAUUCCGACCAAUUUUCACUGCAAUUUAUGACCAGAUGUAAUUACCGGAAGCAUGAACAUGAGUUUGUACUGGUGUCAUGGAAUCUAAUGGAGUUGUUUUGGUGCUAUGCGGCGUCUUAUUUCGGCAGUAUUUUUGAGCAGCCUGAAUCAACGUAUCGGGACUACCGCCUAUCGCGUACCGGUCAAUCCACGGAGUGUACAGGGAGCUUGGCGCACUAGCGUGCUGCUUCCCUGAUCGCCGUCAUGUCUUUACUCUGUGUGUGUGUGAAAAAGGCCGUCUUGGAUGGACCAGCAGAUAAAUUCAACUCCUACGUGACCCUUAAGCUGCAGAAUGUCAAGUCGACCACGGUGGCUGUGAAGGGAAGCUGGCCCUCCUGGGAGCAGGAUUUCAUG
Long non-coding RNA from Patiria miniata (bat star), 473 nucleotides. RefSeq lists it as uncharacterized. The transcript is spliced from 3 exons. NCBI's taxonomy places the organism in Eukaryota, Metazoa, Echinodermata, Asteroidea, Valvatida, Asterinidae. The record is from RefSeq and is a predicted model, not a curated record.